Molecule: non-coding RNA, 236 nt
Filed under: Triticum aestivum (bread wheat)
Lineage: Eukaryota; Viridiplantae; Streptophyta; Magnoliopsida; Poales; Poaceae
Also listed under: 1 other name
Description: Bacterial small subunit ribosomal RNA
Rfam family: Bacterial small subunit ribosomal RNA
Source: Rfam by way of RNAcentral
GCGUAUGGAAGCUUAAGGUCAUUCCCUGCAUUCCGUUUUUUUGGUGGAACCAAUUCACUUGAGUGAGACAGAGGAGAGUGGAAUUUCGGGUGUAGGGGUGAAAUCCGUAGAUCUACGAAGGAACGCCAAAAGCGAAGGCAACUCUCUGGGUCCCUACCGACGCUGGGGUGCGAAAGCAUGGGGAGCGAACAGGAUUAGAUACCCUGGUAGUCCAUGCCGUAAACAAUGAGUGUUCC